AGCAGCCGCGGUAAUUCCAGCUCCAAUAGCGUAUAUUAAAGUUGUUGCAGUUAAAAAGCUCGUAGUUGAAUUUCGGGGUUAGUAGGUUGGUCAUGCCUCUGGUAUGUACUGGUCUCACUGAUUCCUCCUUCCUGAUGAGCCGUAAUGCCAUUUAAUUUGGUGUUGCGGGGAAUUUGGACUGUUACUUUGAAAAAUUAGAGUGUUUAAAGCAAGCUAACGCUUGAAUACAUUAGCAUGGAAUAAUGAAAUAGGACGUUCGAUCCUAUUUUGUUGGUUUCUAGGAUUGACGUAAUGAUUAAUAGGGAUAGUUGGGGGCAUUAGUAUUCAAUUGUCAGAGGUGAAAUUCUUGGAUUUAUUGAAGACUAACUACUGCGAAAGCAUUUGCCAAGGAUGUUUU
RNAcentral lists this ribosomal RNA (397 nucleotides) under uncultured Glomeromycotina. RNAcentral describes it as "SSU rRNA". It matches the Rfam family "Eukaryotic small subunit ribosomal RNA", at positions 569 to 970 of the family's 1831-position model. The record is from RNAcentral. Lineage: Eukaryota; Fungi; Glomeromycota.